UUUACCUCCUUUAUAAUCUUUUCUAUGCCAGAUAUGGUUCAUUUGAGAGUUAAAGCAGAAAGAGUGAGAUAGAGAGAGAGAAAGCAUAUUUAAAUAACAAUUUAUAUUGAGAUAACUUGAAUGUGAUCAAAGAAAAUAAAAAUUUCUUGCUGAUCUUAAAGUACGUUUAUUGCAGUUUUGUUGGUUGCAAAGUUUAUUAAGAAGACUAUAAAAGACUACAAAAGUGAGCCUGCGAAUAUCUAUAUUAUUAAAUUUUCAACUAUAAUGACAAGCAAAUCAAAAGUUUUAACUACUUUCGUCCGCAACUAUUCAGCACCGAAACAUUGGAUUUCGGAUGCAGUAAAAUAUGAAAAAGUCAAAUAUUAUCCAAGAUCCCCAAAUCAUGAAGAUCCUCCAAUUAUACCAUCCAAGCUUUUAAUGGUUGUAUUAGUAAAACCUUUUGCCGGUAAUCCUUAUUGGGAAAAAAAUAUACUUAAACAAUUGGGUAUUGCAGAGAAAGGAAGGGAUCCUGUGAUAGUUAAAAAUAUUCCAGAGAUAUGUGCAAUGUUGUGGAAAGUAAAACAUCUUGUCAAAAUUACUCCUAUUAAAUUACCAGACAAGCUGCCUAACACAGAUGAUUUUGGUGCAAGUUAUCUACAUGAAAAUGGAACCUUCUAUGUUGUUCCCAAAAUAGAUCCAUUGCGUAUAGCGAGCACAGAAAAAUUCGAAAAUGAUCCAAAAAAAUUGGAAGGCCCGAAAAUAAUAGAAACGUUAAGAUUACAGUGGUUAAAUGGUACUUUACCUUAAUAUAAUAACAAAUAUAGAGAGAUUUGUAAUUUCUAUUAACAGUUCUGUAAAUGGUACGUUAGGACCCUAUAGAAAUAAAGGAUGCGUGCCGCUUUAGAUCAGUCGUGCGGUCCUAUACUGCGAUAUUACAUACGUUAAAACUAAUUAUAGAAAAGGAAGAAGAAACAAAAAUGAUAUUAAGAAAAUCUAAGUCUAUCGAAAAUCUAUCGAAAAUAUGUCGAUUAAGACUCAAUUAGUGGUGCCUUACAUCGAAAGAGAAUAAAAGUAAUUUGCUAGGCCGUAAUCGCAUCUUUUGGAAAACUUUUAUGUACUUGCGCGCAUAAUAAGCGUACUAAGCGUACUGAUAAUGCCAGAACACGAGACCUUUUCUGCAACUCGAAUAUCGUCUGAUUGUUAAUUGUGCGCAAGUAGCCUUUGGAAUUUAUCAUUUUAUCUGAAAUGCUAACAUCUAUAAUGAAAUCGUCAACUCGAUAUCCUAUUUGUAGACUAAUCUCUAUGAGAAAACAACUCCUGAUAUAGUAAGUAAGUAGAUUUGAAAAAAUUCUAACAACAUGAUCAUUUUGGAAGUCCUAGUAAUGAAGAAAGAAAGGGGGAGAAGAGAGAUAAAGAGAGAGACAAUAAUCUCUCGUUGUCCUAUUUAAAAUUCAAGUCGAACUCGAUCGCCUACGACUCCGAAGCUUCCAAAAUCGUCUAUCUCUGGACGUAUGGUGAAUGCAGAUUGUAUUAUGCGCAUUUGUAGUUUUCUCAGGCAUAUACAUCUUUAACAAUCUUGCUGCUCGUUCUUCUUGCGACCGAUCAUACGCUUUGCCGCUAAGGAAGCUCAGUAAUUUCAAACUACGUCGUUUUAUUCUCAAACGAUUUAAAAAAUUAGUUUCCGACGUCUCGAUGGAAUUACGACCGUUAUUCUGACUAUAGGAUUCCUCUCCGAGCUUGUUAUUUGAUUUUCUUAUCAUAAAUUCUAAUUGUUUUCUAUGAUCGUGCUGCGCAUCCAACUUCCUGUGCCUACGUCCGUCGGUCGCAAUCGCGGCAUAAGCUUCCUUUUGCAAUAUCUCAAAACUUAUUUUUUCUGCAUUUCUGUUAUUAGAUUCCUCGGCUCUUCUCGCGACCAAUUCCAAUUCUUUCAAACGAUCUGCCUCCUUGACAUUCUUCGAUGAGUCCGGUGAUGUUAAUUCAAGUUUUGAGGCUUCGUCUACGUCGGACAGUUUUCUAUGAAGAUCUACAAUUUUACGACGAAACUCUUCGUCUUCUUGGCUCAACUUUGCAAAAAUACGAUCUCUCUCGAUUACAUCGGAACUCGAGCUGACGUUUUUCAACGUAGUCGAUUGCAACCUCUGUCACCACCAUCCAACUUGAUGUUUUCCACUUCCAGGGGAAUCCUCCUCUUCGAGUAAAGGCUCCAGUCUUCUUCUACUUAAGAAGCAACGUAGCGAGCCAAGGCUACCUCCGCCAAGUAAUUGAUCCAUGCUUAGUUCGGGCAAACCGCAAUCCUCGUUAUCCGAUUCUUGAUCGUGAUCUUCCUCCGUAGAUAAAUUCAGACCAUAAUUGUCUUCUCCGGAACCAGUCAAAUUGCCGGUCCCAUUUGGCGGCGGCUAGGGAAGUCAGGCACAGCUCGGGCUAAUGAUUCUUUGCAAACAGAGGGCAAGCGAGUCAUGCAAAGGCGUGCGAAGCUUACAGGCUAUAUUAGAUGCUUACAGGGAAGGUACGGGCUUUGACAAACAAUAGGUAUUGUAUUGUAAGAGCCAACAGACUAGGACCAUGUAGUCACGUAAUAGCAGGUAUGUUUCUUACGAUUGCAUCGGAGUAUUUAAAAGAAAAAGCAACGCAUGUCACUGAACAAAGUUUAGUUUCGGACUUUAGCAAAAAUAUUUUUUAUUUUUAGUUGAGACGUAGAUAAGAAAAAUGGAAAUUCUAUUAGUAGGUUUAACUUUGUGAUCAUAGAAGCGCGUUACGCCACUAUUCUUUAUGCAAAAAUAUUUUUGACCAAAGCGUAGCCGAUACCUUCCGCGGAAUACAAGUGUGUGUAUGUAUAUAGUAAGUACUAAUAUUAUUAUUAAUUAUUAUAAUCAAGUAUAUUACAGAGCGAGUGUGUGUGUGAAUGGGUGGCUCUAGAAAUGAUUACCGAAUGUGUCGUAAAACUCUCGUCGUCUGGACCUCCGGAGGUUGGAGUACCCCAAAUAUCAUCUCCCGAAGUUGCACCCGACGUAGUACCCUCCUCAUCGUUAGGAUCAAGAGAAAAUUCUGUCCUUUCUGGAGGAACAGGCGGUUGAAGAAGGUAAUCGCCAACCCCUUCGCUAAAUUGCUCCAAAAGAACCAUCUUGCUAACAACAUAAUUACUAGCUCUUGCGGUCCAAGCUCUCAGACCCGAAGGUGGUGAUUCUGUCUCACGAUUUUCAUCGUCUCCUUGCUCGUCCAGCUCAUCGUCUUGGUCCAAACUACUCAUCGUACCGAAUCUUCUCAACGUUCUACGUAGAAUCGAGAUUAUCGUAGAAGAUAAUAAAACGGAUUGAUAUAAACAGAAAUGUUUAUCGAAUGAUAGACUAAUAUCUACCUGUAAGGUGGUUCCCCGUCGCAGUCAAGAUCAUCUUCGCUUCCAUCUUCCGUAUUACCGUCGACAGAUGCAUAAUUUGGACUGUUACGUCCUGGACUAUCGUGUAGGCCAUUUCUUAAUCUAUGUCUCGCCGUAUAAAUAUCUGGCGUAGGUGGCAUGACAGAUAUUUUAGGAGGUAACGGAGAGAAAGGAUCUCUUGGAAGAGGCGGCGUGGGGCAGCCAGAUCUGAAAGAAGAAACGAAAGAAAAAGGAAGACAAAGAAAGGAAAAGAAGAAAAAAAGAAAAGGAAAUUUAAUUAAUUAAUAUUGGCACAUGCUAUAUCAUAUGAUAAUCUUAAAUAUGGUAAGUACUUCAUUUAAUACAUUGGAUUAUCGGUAAGGCAUAUAACCUAUGACAUCGCCUACAGAUGUUGAUAGAACUCGUAGAGUUUUCUUUCGAGGAUACGUAGCUCCCAUUUUUUCUUGCCGUAAUACUAUUGGAUUUGACUGUACUUAAACUGGCACUGGAGGCUGUGCUCUGUUGCUCUAUGUCCGAAUUCGCUGUUACGACUUCUUCUGCCGUCGUCGUCGUCGUUGCUGUCGUCGUCGUCGUAGCUUCCUGAAUGGAUCUUUCGUUCUUUUCUCCGGGUGCUCUUGCAGCUAACUCUUCCGCAGUCCAUUCCUCGAGGGAGCCUUCGUUAUCGGAAGGCGGUAUUUGGUGAGAAUUGCGCACCCAUUGGGCCAAAUGAUUGUCCUCUCGCGUAUUUUUCAGAAUAUCGGCAAGACUUUCACUCGAAUUACAUUCCUUUUUUUCCUCGUGCUUAUGCGAAUCCCGUAAUCCCAUCUAAUUUAAGAGGGAAUCGUAUAUUAAAGAGCAAAUAAAUCCGAUAUCUCGAAAUCCUUCACUUUUAUGCCAAUUCACCACCUUACCCGCGGACUUUCCAUCGAUUCUCUAACGUGAGCAAAGUUGGUGCUGGUAAUCGGACUCUCCUCGGGGCUGCCAACACUCGAUGUUCCACCAUAGCCUGUAUUUAGAUAAAUUCUAAAAUACAAGGGAUUAGUGUAAACAAUGUAACUUUGUGAUAUAAUCUACGAUCCGAGUGAUUCGGGCAACCACUUAGAAAAUAAAAGUAGGCGCUACUCACAUUUGUCGUUGAAGCAAGUUAUGCCAAACUGCUUUGAGCUCCGGGCUAGGAGCUCUCAAUACGAUGACUCGUCUUCGAGGACGACUAUGGGGACUACAACCUCCGCUGUUUGUCAUUUCUGCCUGACCGUUCUCAGUAUUACCAUUCGAAUUGAUUGCCACUUGUAAUCUGAAUUCUGUCGGCCUCUUUCUAAUGGUAAAACACGCUUCUGCAAUAUUGGCCAAUCGCAGAGGUUCCUCAGUAACGAAAAGAACGCGAUCCCUCGAAACGCGAGCAAAGACCAAUAAGUCGGUAAGAAGGAGCGCCCACGAUGGUUGCAAACGAGCCCGACCUUCGACCUUCGCUAGGGCCCCGCCGAAAAGCCUGUCAGAUAGAAUCAAUCUGUCAGAAAUUUAGUUCGUAAAUAAUCAUAAGUGACAAUCAACUGACCAUUGUCUUCCUGGCAUGGCUAAAGUAAACGGUUUGCAUUUUGCGAAAACCAAUCGCGACUCGACUUCCUGUAAACUAAGUAAAGGUCUUCCGGUGUCGCGCGGUGGUUCCAUUACGCCUGCAUUAGCCGUUGAUUCUCUGUAGCCUUGUGCUAAAUCUCGAGCUUGCUGACAGUUUCUUGGCGAUGCCAGACUCAGUAAUCUCGUCAUUUCUCUAAAACGCAACCACAAAUAAAAGUUAUUCAAAGAUUACUUGAAACUUAUUCAAACUUUGGAAUAAGCGCUACAAUACUGGCGCGAUGGAACUGGCGUAGAGACGAACCUAUAAUGCUCUAAAGGAAGCAAGAGGAUUCCCGUAAGGUCAGGCCGCCUUUUAUGAGGAACGGCAGGUUCACAGACUAACUUAGCAAAGGCCGUAUUCCGUCUGAGUGCAACGAGCAAAUAACAGGCCCAUUGCAGUCCACUGAGGUAUCGUCUGUAAGCGGCCGUGAUCUUGGGUACUCUGCAGAGAUAGCUAUCGGUACCGCCACCCUCGUCUCUAAUCUCCUCGGAUAUCUUAAGUAAUUCGUCUAGAUUUUGAAAGAGGACCAUGUAGUCCGCCGCGGAGAGAACGUCGCGCCUUUCGGCCAGCGGCGUCAUGAAUCUUGUGUGACCGCUCUUCAGAAUCCCCCGGUAUCUUGCCUCUCGUACCGAUAACUCUUCCUCCGGUGGUGCAUCCGGAGCAAGAUUCGGAAAAACCUGAUCACGUAGACGUGCAAGAUUUUCGUCCUGUCUUUUCGAACUACUACCAAUCGAGAGACCGCAUGCAUUAAUGUCCUUACCUAAGAAUAUUCUUAUUUUUCAAUAAACUGAUCAGCUACAAACAUUAUUGCUUAUCAACAUUAUAAUCUAUGAUCUUUAACGAAAUUGUAAAAAGGGUCGAUCUUUUAUAUAAUCGUAUCCAAAAUCUAACAAUGAAUCGAUCUAUAUAGUGCACAUAUAGUUAUAUAUACAUAUGCAUAUAUAUAUGUGUAUGUAUAUCGAUCGAAGCAAUCAUGCGAGUGUAAUAUUCUGUUACAUAACUCGUGACGAAAAAUUUUGCUACAAUAUUAUCUUUCGACCUGCAUGCAACAAGAGAAAGUAUCAUUUCGACCUAAUUUCAUACUAUGAUAAUCACAUUCUCUCUCUUUCUCUCUCUCUCUCUCUCUCUCUCUCUCUCUCUCUCUCUCUCUCUCUCUCUCUCUCUCUCUCUCUCUCUCUCUCUCUCUUCUCUCUCUCUCGCUCCCUCUGUAUCCAAAGAUGCAUACACACCUACAUGUACUCGUAGUUUAAUGUCAUGGCUAAAACACGGGGAAUGGAUGAGGAUGUGUUCAAAUAAAUGAAAAUAACAACGAGUAUAGUUUAAAACAAAACUUGUUGACAACAACAAAAAAAAAGAAAAGACAACCGAACAAAGUACAAACAAGAUAAUUAGAUCAUAAGUUAAGAACACGCUUACCACAAGAAACGCGCGAACGAUCGCUAUGAGAGGUAAGGAAGGAAAUGCACUAUACAAAAUAUGGACCGUGUAAAACAAAAAAAAGCGUUUAUCAGUCAACCAAAUGAAAAAAGAAAAAAAGAAAACAAAUACAAAACGUUCGCCGUUCUUUUCGCCUCGCGGUUCUGUAGAUCGAUUUUAACGAUAAGGCGAAUAAAAUGAUUGAUGCUCCGAUAAUGCUCGGACACGUUCGCUUUUAUCAAUGAAAAUCGAAACUUUUCAAUGUCAUCGAGCGGCAAGCGAUAUCGCGAUAACGAUAGGAACGAAAGAAUCAAGCGGUUUUAAAACAGCGGUAUUGUCAUCGAGCUCACACCAGAACGCCGAUACCGACCUCGGCGUUGAACGCGACGGCGUGCUGACUAGCGGGACCGACAGUUUGUUGAAGAGAGACAUUCAUCGAGUUGGGCCUCUGCUGUGACGAAUGAAUGCCUCCCUUACGAUAAACCUCAAGGAUGAGCUGAUUCGUUGCCGCCUGGAUCAAGCCCAAAAUCUCGUCCCUCGGUUUCGUUACAACGUUCGUUGUUUCGACGAAGACGACGUAAUCGCCUGGUUUCAGACCAGAUCUUUCCGCAGGACUUCCUGAAUCGACGCGCUCCACACGUGGCGGUCUGCCCCAGGAUAAAGAGAAACCCCAUGGCACCUGUACAAGGCGUUCUACCACCUCUCGCGGUAAAGCCUGGAUGUAGAGGUAAGCCGGUCAGAGGAUCGACUGGUUCCAACUCAAGAUGUUUUAAAUACGUCAAAUCAUCCCCACCGGAAUUGUUGUUAUCUGAUUCUCCAUCCUUGGAUAAAGGCGGCGAGACUCCACAUUCUUGUGGUACUCUUGCAUAAGGGGUACUUGUAUUUCGGCUGGAUCCAGAUUCGAGUGGGUGCCAUGUUGCUUCCUACGAUAUUCACGAGCGACGAUAUAUCAAUCGGUCAAUAAGUCAAACAACUGAGAAAUAUCAUAUGCUUUAUCGAUGUUUCUACAUAUAUACAUAUCAAUGCAGUUAUCAAAAAAAUUCAAAGAUCUUCAAAAGAACACCAAUAACGAUAAAAGCAAUGCAAUAAAUUGCAACAGCGAUCAUUGUUCGUUGAUGUGUAACAGUAAAAAAAAAAA
This is an unclassified non-coding RNA of Vespa mandarinia (Asian giant hornet), 7500 nucleotides long. The record is from RefSeq and is a predicted model, not a curated record. Lineage: Eukaryota; Metazoa; Arthropoda; Insecta; Hymenoptera; Vespidae.